Acanthosepion pharaonis is the source of this 110-nucleotide non-coding RNA. Lineage: Eukaryota; Metazoa; Mollusca; Cephalopoda; Sepiida; Sepiidae. The record is from the annotation of a GenBank genome assembly.
CGGUUACAUCUCGUUGAAACCCCGGUUCCUGUACGAUCAUCGAAGUUAAGCAACGUCAUGUCUAGUCAGUACCUCGGUAGGUGACCACUUGGGAAUACCAGGUGCUGUAA